AUUGAACGCUGGCGGCCGGCCUAACACAUGCAAGUCGAGCGGAGCGGCGGACGGGUAAUUAAUGCCUAGGAAUCAGCCUGGUAGUGAUGGAUACCGUCCGGAAACGGGCGCUAAUACCGCAUACUCUCAGAUGAGCCUAGGUCGGAUUAGCUAGUUGGUGGGGUAAAGGCCUACCAAGUCGACGAUCCGUAGCUGGUCUGAGAGGAUGAUCAGUCACACUGGGACUGAGACACGGUCCAGACUCCUACGGGAGGCAGCAGUGGGGAAUAUUGGACAAUGGGCGAAAGCCUGAUCCAGCCAUGCCGCGUGUGUGAAGAAGGUCUUCGGAUUGUAAAGCACUUUAAGUUGGGAGGCGUUACCAACAGAGUAAGCACCGGCUAACUACGUGCCAGCAGCCGCGGUAAUAC
This 407-nucleotide ribosomal RNA is filed under the name uncultured bacterium. RNAcentral's name for it is "partial 16S ribosomal RNA". It matches the Rfam family "Bacterial small subunit ribosomal RNA", at positions 30 to 526 of the family's 1533-position model. The record is from RNAcentral.